Long non-coding RNA from Sinocyclocheilus anshuiensis, 233 nucleotides. RefSeq lists it as uncharacterized. The transcript is spliced from 3 exons. NCBI's taxonomy places the organism in Eukaryota, Metazoa, Chordata, Actinopteri, Cypriniformes, Cyprinidae. The record is from RefSeq and is a predicted model, not a curated record.
AAUGACUUUGCUAAAUCAGUAUGGAAUGCUUAUUAUUGCAAUACAGUAAGAUCAUGUUUUAUUUUAGCCCAUUUUAUUUUUUUCAGGCUGCUUGGAGAUCUUGCCUCAAGUGAUGUUGCCGUUGAGCUCCCCUUUACAUUAAUGCAUCCCAAACCAUUGGAGGAAUCGAUUUACAGAGAUGCUCCAGAAAAUGAUGCCCCCAUUGACACCAACCUCAUUGAAUUUGACACAAA